AAUUUUGGACAAUGGGGAAACCCUGAUCCAGCCAUCCCGCGUGUGCGAUGAAGGCCUUNGGGUUGNANAGCACUUUUGUCAGGGANGAAAUCGUACAGGCUAAUAUCCUGCGCGGAUGACGGUACCUGAAGAAUAAGCACCGGCUAACUACGUGACAGCAGCCGCGGUAAUACGUAGGGUGCAAGCGUUAAUGGGAAUUACUGGGCGUAAAGGGUGCGCAGGCGGUUUAUCAAGAAUGGUGUGAAAUCCCCGGGCUUAACCUGGGAAUGGCCCUUUUAACUGAUAGGCUAGAGUAUGUCAGAGGGGGGUAGAAUUCCACGUGUAGCAGUGAAAUGCGUAGAGAUGUGGAGGAAUACCGAUGGCGAAGGCAGCCCCCUGGGAUAAUACUGACGCUCAUGCACGAAAGCGUGGGGAGCAAACA
This 421-nucleotide ribosomal RNA is filed under the name uncultured bacterium. RNAcentral describes it as "partial 16S ribosomal RNA". It matches the Rfam family "Bacterial small subunit ribosomal RNA", at positions 360 to 774 of the family's 1533-position model. The record is from RNAcentral.